CACUCCACACCCUAAACCCGUUCUCUCAUGUUCCUCCCUCUCUCUCUGUUCCCCAAUCCCCUCUCUCUCUCAGUUCCCUCCGUCAGCACUCUCCUUCUCCCUCUUCCUCUCUCGAGCUCCCUCGCCCUCGGCGUCUCCCUCUCCCUCUCUCAAGCUCCCGCGCCCUCACACCUCCUUCAACAGCACCGGCUCUUCAGCAGCGCUGCCUCCACCGGCUCUCCCUCUCCCUCUCUCGAGCUACUAGUUUUCGGGUUGCUGGGUUUAUGCUCUGACCAUAUCCAUUUUCUUGUUUGGAAGUUGGGAUUCACGAUUCCACCUGGGUUUUGUUAUUGGGGUCAUCACAUGGAUCUGUUAUUGCAUUCAUUUCUUUUAUUAUCUGUUUGUUGAAAUGGCUGGAUUAGAUGGCAUGCUAUGUGUUUGAUGAAAUGGCUAGAUUUCAUGCAUGCUAUUUGUUUGAUGAAAUGGCAUGCUAUCUGCCCCUGCUGAUUUUUCAGGCUGCUAGAUUUUGGUAGAGCACAUCAGGGAAGUUCUUCCAGGAUUCAAAGCCCGCAGACAAAUUCUGUCAAUAGUGUUGUGAAUAUGAGAUUUGCAAUUCAUUUUUAUUGUCAUUUUCAGGUAUUGAUUGGCAGACUUGUUAUUACACAGGAAUGUUAGUUUUUUAUAUGUGAAUUGAUGGAGACAUUUGUCAUUUGGGUAGCUUUGAUUGGCAGACUUUUAAAUAUGAUAUUUGCAAUUCAGUUUCAAUUGUCAGUUACAGGAAUUGAUUGGC
Molecule: RNA transcript, 769 nt
Organism: Magnolia sinica
Lineage: Eukaryota; Viridiplantae; Streptophyta; Magnoliopsida; Magnoliales; Magnoliaceae
Exons: 4
Source: RefSeq, a predicted model, not a curated record